UUGCUGUGAUGAGGUUAUGCUCCUGAAAUGUAUAUGAUGAAUAAUUUUUGAGCUUUUUAACUCUGAGCUUA
Argiope bruennichi is the source of this 71-nucleotide small nucleolar RNA. NCBI's taxonomy places the organism in Eukaryota, Metazoa, Arthropoda, Arachnida, Araneae, Araneidae. The record is from RefSeq and is a predicted model, not a curated record.